GAUGAACGCUGGCGGCGUGCCUAAUACACGCAAGUCGAGCGAACAGACGAGGUGCUUGCUCCUCUGACGUUAGCGGCGGACGGGUGAGUAACACGUGGAUAACCUACCUAUAAGCCUGGGAUAACUUCGGGAAACCGGAGCUAAUACCGGAUAAUAUCUUGAAACGCAUGGUUUAAUAGUGAAAGACGGUUUUGCUGUCACUUAUAGAUGGAUCCGCGCCGCAUUAGCUAGUUGGUAAGGUAACGGCUUACCAAGGCAACGAUGCGUAGCCGACCUGAGAGGGUGUUCGGCCACACUGGAACUGAGACACGGUCCAGACUCCUACGGGAGGCAGCAUUGGGGAAUCUUCCGCAAGGGGCGAAAGCCUGACGGAGCAACGCCGCGUGAGUGAUGAAGGUCUUCGGAUCGUAAAACUCGGUUAUUAGGGAAGAACAAAUGUGGAAGUAACUAUGCACGUCUUGACGGUACCUAAUCAGAAAGCCACGGCUAACUACGUG
RNAcentral lists this ribosomal RNA (497 nucleotides) under uncultured bacterium. Its description in RNAcentral is "partial 16S ribosomal RNA". It matches the Rfam family "Bacterial small subunit ribosomal RNA", at positions 28 to 507 of the family's 1533-position model. The record is from RNAcentral.